ACACAACUUUAAAUGCUGAGAAAAAUAGCAGAAUUUGUAAAUGGGGAAGACUGUGACAAAUAUUUAGUCUUCCAUGAUUGUAAGGGGCUGAAAGUCUGAAAGUAGGUGAAGAAUACAAACGACAAGGGCUAUAUGAUGGGUAGCCCAUGGCUUAAGCCUCAAAAAAAAAUUUUUCCAGAGGCUCAAGAGGAUGGGAGAGGAGCGGUCUGCAAGCAGCAGUAGGAGCAAGACCUUGAGACGUAUCCAUCAAUGCUACGAGAGAUUCUGCUUUGGAGAUCAACAUGCUGUAUAUCACAAUAAUGAUGGGACUCACGGCAUGGGGGAUGGACAGAGGAGCUUUCUCCUAGGGUGGUAUUUCUGGAAUUUCUAGUGUCAGGUGCUACUUAAUAUCUCUCACAAGAAAAGAAGAAAUCCCUCUGCCUUUUAAUGUUCUGGGAAUAGAAAGAAUAAAGGAGACAGAGGUGAACCCACCAAGGAGUAUAGCAAUUUCUACUUGUCUCCUUAAUAGUCCAACACUUCACUCACACAACGUUACGUAGUUUCAUCAAAUGAUGAGUCCAGCCCCUUUCUUCUGCAGAAAAUGUCAGUUCACUGCUCCUUGCCUACAAAAUAGAAAUUGAGAGAUACCAGCUUUUCUAGCCAGACUACAAAAUUACUUUGACUAAAUCGCUAAAAAUUCAGCCUCACUACCAGUUUCCACAAUACCUAUCAAAUGGUAACUUCAAGCUCUGUUUGUACUUUUCAGGAAUCCAAUGAGCAAACAAUU
This 766-nucleotide long non-coding RNA is filed under the name Pongo abelii (Sumatran orangutan). RNAcentral describes it as "lincRNA". Lineage: Eukaryota; Metazoa; Chordata; Mammalia; Primates; Hominidae. The record is from RNAcentral.